Bubalus bubalis (water buffalo) is the source of this 2371-nucleotide long non-coding RNA. RefSeq lists it as uncharacterized. The record is from RefSeq and is a predicted model, not a curated record. The transcript is spliced from 2 exons. NCBI's taxonomy places the organism in Eukaryota, Metazoa, Chordata, Mammalia, Artiodactyla, Bovidae.
UCUGUAAAAUCAAAUGUAAUUGAAGACAAUUAGUAAAGCAAUGUUAUUAGCAUCAUCAUAUUUCCCUUGCCAUCCCUUUCUCCUUUUUCUACAAUCAAGAACAAAUUUUCCACAUCAGAAUAACACUGUAGAAAGUAAACCUGUAUUUGUGUACAUACUUAAAAUCUAAAAUGUGGAACAUUCAAACAUUAUAUAAGAAAUAAGAUGUUUAUGUGUGUAUAUUUUCUUUCACGACUGUCAAAAUUAACUGUAAGCCUAAGCACUUGAGUAUAACAUCUGCUAAGUGUAAAAAAUCCUGUAAAUUAUCCAACAGCACCAAGUACUCAUGUCUGUUUUUCUCCUUACUGCCUGUGACAAAAUGGAAAGGCCAACAAUAACAAUCUUUACUCUGACUCAGUGAUUUACUACAGCGAUGCACAUGACUCUUACUAACUUACUAACAACUUACUAACAACUGGGACAUCCCUGCAUUCCAGCUAGCUGGACUCUAGACUGCUCUUCUGCAAAUGCAUAUUAAUACGUGCCCUGGGUAUGAAUAUGGUUAGAAAAGUUGUAUGAGAGAAAAUUAAAAUUUUGGAAAGUUAAAAGCUUCUUAUGCUACCACUAAAGUAAUUUGAACUUUGUUAUUCAAACAAAAAUAUUCUCAAUUACCUGUGCUAAUGGGGGAGUGGUAAUGUUUAUUAUAGCUAUUAUGGUUAACAUGUUCCUAAGGUGUAGCCAUUGUAACAGCCUAAAGAUUUCAAAGAUCAUUUGAAAGAAACUGGUUUUUUUUCUUGUUGUUUUUUUUUUUUCCCCCAGCUCAGAAAAGAAAGCCUGCAUCUUAAGCAGAAAACAGUAGUACCUUAAGGAAGAUUCGUCCUCGUAUUAGUCCAUAUGGAACAGGUCCAUAGUACCUGGAAUCUGUAGAAUUCUGUAGAUUAUCACCUUCUAACCAGACAUGACCCUUUGGCACCUAGAAUUAGAGAAGAAAGCACCCCCUUUCAAAACAAAUAUGGAUGCUAUGAAUAAAAAAAUUUUAUGUCUUUUGGAGGUAGCAAGGAAUGUCCUAAAGUUCUUUUGUAAAAUAUAGUCAGACCCUAUGGUUUGCAUUUUUGCUAUUAUCUCUGGCAAAAUAAAAUAAAUUUUACUAAAUAUUAGUAAGGAGUAUUAAUAUUUCAACUUUUAAAAAGACCUCUUUUGCCACAUGGUUCCCAAACAUUAAUUUGUUAUACAAACCCCAAACUGAAGUUAUGAGAGAUCAAAACAGUGUGACAGGGUCAUUAAUUUAAUAGACUUCAAAAGAGGUCAUUAGGAUGCUGACUGAAAAUGUGCCCCCCCUGUCUCAAUAACAGCAUAAGCAGGGCAGCCACUCACUCAGCAACAUCCUGGGGCCAAUACCAAGGCCAGACCUAUUAGAAUGUUCAUGAUGAACUAACUGGUAAUUGAUUGUGACAUCAAUUACAAAUAAUCUCAUCAUUUUAUUGGAGUGGGCUUGUCAGAAUUCUAAUUAAGAUCCUUGUUCUGCCUUUGUACAGGCCAUAUCUUCAAUGUAUUAUAUACUUCAGUAAUGACCAUCAAGAACUAGAAGGACCUAUUAUAAAAUCAUCAGUUGUGAAAUUAAUGAUGGUGACCCUCUACUAAAUGAAAAGAUCUUAUAUAUGUCCUGUGUAUUAACUGUUUUUGUUACCCAAGAAAGCUGAAUUACUGACUAGCCAAAACGAUCUAUUGGGAAGGAAUUAAUUUUCACUAUUCUUUUGACCAGUUAUUACCUGGGAACCUUAUGUGAAGAAAAAUAGUCCUAUUAGAUUUAGUAAGAAAUGACUGAUUUUUUAAAUGUCACAAUUUGUUUUUUUAAAGACCAUCUUUUAGAGCAGUUUUAGGUUCACAGCAUGAGAGAAAGGUACGGAGAUUUCCCGUAUGCCUCCCACCCCCACACAUGCGUGGCCUCCCUGUUACUGUCAUCCCCCACUAGAGUGGCAUAUUUGUUACACCUGGUGAACUCACACUACCAUCAUAAUCACCCAAAGUCCCAUAGUUUACUUAGGGUUCACUCUAGGUGUUGUACAUUCUGUGAAUUUGGAUGAGUGUACAACAUGGAUCCUCUACCACAGUAUUAUACAGGAUAUUUUCACUGCCCCCCAAAUCCUUUGUGAUCUGCCUAUUUCGUUUCUCCCCUCACCUCCACUGCCAUCACCUCUGAAUUUUAACUUUUGGGAAAAUUAAUUUGUACAAGCAUGUAAAAUAUGAAGUACACUUUACAUCAGAUAUAAUUUUGGAAUGUCUUUAUGUAGAAAUAUUAGCCCAAAAUGAAUCAAGCUAAAUAUUUUCAUUUAGAUACACUUAAGUGUCAAAUCUAUUUGAAGAGAAAGAAUAAAAGUGUUUUGAAAGAAUA